UGGGGAAUUUUGGACAAUGGGGGAAACCCUGAUCCAGCCAUCCCGCGUGUGCGAUGAAGGCCUUCGGGUUGUAAAGCACUUUUGGCAGGAAAGAAACGUCAUGGGUUAAUACCCCGUGAAACUGACGGUACCUGCAGAAUAAGCACCGGCUAACUACGUGCCAGCAGCCGCGGUAAUACGUAGGGUGCAAGCGUUAAUCGGAAUUACUGGGCGUAAAGCGUGCGCAGGCGGUGCGGAACGAAAGAUGUGAAAUCCCAGAGCUCAACUUUGGAACUGCAUUUUUAACUACCGGGCUAGGGUGUGUCAGAGGGAGGUGGAAUUCCGCGUGUAGCAGUGAAAUGCGAAGAUAUGCGGAGGAACACCGAUGGCGAAGGCAGCCUCCUGGGAUAACACUGACGCUCAUGCACGAAGGCGUGGGGAGCAAACAGG
Molecule: ribosomal RNA, 429 nt
Filed under: Acidobacteriota bacterium
Lineage: Bacteria; Pseudomonadati; Acidobacteriota
Description: Acidobacteria bacterium partial 16S ribosomal RNA
Rfam family: Bacterial small subunit ribosomal RNA
Source: RNAcentral